Molecule: long non-coding RNA, 4616 nt
Filed under: Homo sapiens (human)
Lineage: Eukaryota; Metazoa; Chordata; Mammalia; Primates; Hominidae
Description: HSALNT0110100
Source: RNAcentral
CUGACAGAAAUAGACAAGAUUAUCUUUUUACAUGACUUAUGAAAACUCAUGGUCAAAUAUUUAAUAGGGUCCAUGUGAUACAACAUUGAUUUAUAAUUUGUUAUUUUUUUACCCUGAGGUUGGCCAAAUCUCAAACAGCAUGGUUGAUCAGUGGUUAGUAAAAAUGCAUAUUGAGUUACUUCCAGCAUUUACUGACACAUUCUGCUUCUUUCCAAAGUCAGCUUCUCUAAGGUUGUGUUUAUCUCAGUGAUUGAAUUUGGCGUCCUUAGCUUUGAUCUUUGUUACACACUCUGGGAUAUAACCUUCAUUUAUUAAUUUAGUCUUAUAAACAAACAAAAGCUACAGUAUGAUUAAAAGUCUGAUCUUUUGGGUAACUACUGCCAAAUCUCUGGCCUGACACCCCACGGUAAAUGACCCAGAUAGACAUGGAGUGGGCCUCCUCAGUGAGUGAUCUAAAUUAUGUUGUAUUUUAACACUUAUUUAACACAUGCACAGAUAGGUAUACAAAACAAGAAAAUGUAAGUUUAUGAAUUAUCAGAAAGUGAACGUGUCUUGACUCAGAUGAUGACAUACAAUAUUGCUAGCAGCCUCAAAGUUCUCAUUCUGUCCUCUCCAAUUACUUCUGCAUCUACUCCACCAAAUAUAACCAAUAUCUUGUCUUUCAUGAGAAUCACUUUUUUGAUAUUCUUAUUGUUUCAUUCUAAAGUUAUAUAUUCUUAAACAUGAGCAUUAAAUUUCCAUUUUCAGACUUCAUUUUAAAAGAAAUCUACAACACGUUAGACUGUUUUGCUUUUUACACUAAAUACUUGAUAUGGCAUUUAUUCGUGUUGCAUAGAGUUUAUUGACUCCUCAUUAUCCAUUCUGUAAAUAUUUCACAAUUUAAGCGCUCAUUCUAGUUUGUUAGACAAUUAAGUCACUUGCUAGUAUUGACUAUUAUAAAAUUUUCUGUUCUGUGUAAUCAUAUUUAUAUACUGUUGUGUGUGUAAGCACACAAUUCUUUUGGAUAUAUUUCUAGGUGUGCACUUGCUGGAUCAUACAGUAAGAGUAUGUUUAGCUUUAGUAGACAAUGCCAACAAUGCUUUCCAAAAGAUUAUAUCAACUUAUACUCCCACCAGCAAUGUAUGAGAUUUUCCAUUACUCUGCAUCUUCUUCAAUUCUUAAAAGGUAGUUACUUUUUAAUUUUAAUUAUUGUGGUGGAUGUAUAAGAACAUCUCAUUUGUAUUUUAAUUGGCAUUUCUCUGAUAGUUAAUAAUAUUGAGCAAUUUUCGUAUCUUUAUCGAACAUGUAGACACCCUAGAUUGUGAAAUGCUUGUUCAAGCAUUUUGUUCAUACUCUACUGAAUUCUUUGUAGUUUUUACUUAUUAUUAUUAUUUUCUAAGAGAUGGGGUCUGUUCUGUUGCUCAGGCUAGACUUAAGUGAUGUAAUCCCAGCUCACUGCAGCCUUGAACUCCUGGGCUUAAGUUGUCCUUCCACCUCAACCUCCUGACUAGCUGAGACUACAGGUGCAAAACACCAUAUAUGGCUAAUUUAAAAAAAAAAAUGUUUUUAAAUGUUGGGGUCCAGGCUGGUCUUGAACUCCUGGAUUCAAGUGAUCCUCCCUUCUCAGUCUCUCAUGUAAUAGGGAUUACAGGCAUGACAUUGUGCACGGCUCUUUGUCUUUUAUUAAUGGUAGGAGACCUUUUCAAUAUAUUUUGGAUUUGAGCUCUUUCUCUGUUACACAACUCCUUCUACUAUGUGGCUUGUGUUUUUACUUUUUCUAGGAAUGGCUUUUAAUGAAUACAAAGUUCUUAAUAUGAGAUUGUGUGCACAUAUAUAUUUACAUAUACAUAUAUUUCUUUAUGGUAACUGCAACUGGUACACAUGCUUUUAUGUUUAGGAGUAGUUUAUAGCUUUCCACUGACUAUUCUUUAUUUUGUCAUAUCAGUUGAACCUGAGUAAAUGUAAAAAUGGGUAUAUACUAUUGCACAUGUAGUCAAGAGAGCUAAGUUACAUAUGCCUGAUAUAAAAUGUAUUCUUUGUAAUAGUUGGACAAUAAUAGUUGAAUAUGGGGCAAGAUAUCUUAUGAAAAUAAUUCAUUAUUGACUGUUUUAGUUCUUAUUGGAAAUGUUCAAUGCUUUAGUCAUGUUAUUGUACUAAAGAAUGAGAGUUAGUUGAGGUCUAACACGAUAGGGCUUUAUCUGUAGCCACACCAUCUGGAAACAUCUAGUGUAACUCUGUGAUUUUGCUUUACUCAUAGGACUAUUAGAGCUGUGGGGAGGAACUAUAAUACAAGACAGAGUUUCUAAAAGUGUGAAAGACCAAGUAAUACAUUUGCUUUUGCCUUUGGUAUUGGCAUAUCCAACACAUCUAUGCUGUUCUUGGGUAUGAUAGCUUAAAAAUAUUAUUUGAACCCAUUCAUAUUUAGGAAGGGUGUCAGAAAUUGAGAAGCAGGCAUACCCAUCUACUCUAAAAAUGAUCCUAAAGUAAAUUGCUUGAAUAAAUUAGAUUGAAAAGAUUCUUGGUGGGGGACUUUUUAAAGUUGUCCUCAAUAUGUCCAUAUUCAAGUGAAGGUAAGAGAAGCCCAGACAAAAAAAGUUGUGAGAUGACAGGACAACUAUGGAUUAAGCAUCAAUUCUUUUAAAAAGGGCUGACUUAAAAAUAAAUCUUGGCUCAAUUAGAGGAACUUAGCUGACCUUGAUGGGCAAAGAAAGGAAUCACAACAUGUGAAAUUCUUUGGAUAAAGAAUGUAUUGACUUAAAAAAAUGAGAGUAGCUUUUAUAUAGCAUUGGUAAUUCCAUUUAAAGAAAACUCUAUUGUUAUAUAUUCAAACUUCUGGACUAGUGAAAUUAAACAGUAUCCUUAGAUUGCACAGUAGGUUGUUUAAAAUAGAAACUAUUCUGGCAAUUAUUUAUCUGUGAAAAUUAAAAUUUUCUAUCUGUUCUACAAAAGGCAGGCUAACCAAAUGACAGAUAGAAAGAAAAUAACUCAGAAACUAAUUAAAGUGUAUCCUCAGAUUUAAGGUAGAUUACUCUUUAUUAAAAAUUACAGUUUAAAACAUUGGUAUCCCAAAUAUUCAAUUAUAAAAUUUUGGGCCCAUGAAAACAUUCUCAUGGAUAAACUUUGUAGUAAAUACACAGCAUAAACUUGAAAUUUAAAUAAACAUAUACCAAUAAAAACAUCUAUUUUAUAUAAUUCAUGGAUAUAAUUUAUAUUUAACAUUUUAUUUAAGCACUUUAAUACACAGUAUCACUGUAAACAAAAUAUGAAUACCUCUGUACCCAGCAAAAGAGCAAACCAAAUGAAAGAUGUACUAGUUCAUAAGGAACAUCUACCCUUUAUCAAAGUUGAUGCUAAGAACAUAACUAUUCUCUCAAAGACAUAAAUUUUAUCAUUUCCUGUAUUAUCUUUUGAAAUGGGACUUAUCUUCUGUACUGUGAAAUAUGAAGGAAUCCCAAGAUUAGCUUUAGGUUGUCUUUGGAUCCCUGGAAUUUUCUCAAAAAUUUUCUAUCUGCAUCUGAGGGUGGUGGAUGGAUCAAGUCUAUAACUACAUUUUUUUAAAUGUUACAACAAAAUGUAUUAACACAUGUAUAGUGUUAUGGUUAGUUCUCAGUACAAAUUACCUAUUAUUAACGAGAUAUUUAUAUGCUGAAUUGUGUUAAUACAUGCUUUCACACAAAUAUUUUUCCAUUACACAUGAGUUUUCCAACCAAUAGAUGAAUAUAUAUUUGAAUUACAAUUUUAUUUUUUUUAAAUUAUACUUUAAGUUCUAGGGUACAUGUGCACAAAGUGCAGGUUGGUUACAUAUGUAUACAUGUGCCAUGUUGGUAUGCUGCACCCAUUAACUCGUCAUUUACAUUAGGUAUAUCUCCUAAUGCUAUCCCUUCCCCCUCCCCCCACCCCACAACAGGCCCUGUGUGUGAUGUUCCCCUUCCUGUGUCCAAGUGUUCUCAUUGUUCAAUUCCCACCUAUGAGUGAGAACACGCGGUGUUUGGUUUUUUGUCCUUGCAAUAGUUUGUUGAGAAUGAUGGUUUCCAGCUUCAUCCAUGUCCCUACAAAGGACAUGAACUCAUCCUGUUUUAUGGCAGCAUAGUAUUCCAUGGUGUAUAUGUGCCACAUUUUCUUAAUCCAGUCUAUCAUUCAUGGACAUUUGGGUUGGUUCCAAGUCUUUGUGCUAUUGUGAAUAGUGCCACAAUAAAUAUACAUGUGCAUGUGUCUUUGUAGCAGCAUGAUUUAUAAUCCUUUGGGUAUAUACCCAGCAAUGGGAUUGCUGGGUCAAAUGGUAUUUCUAGUUCUAGAUCCUUGAGGAAUCGCCACACUGUAUUCCACAAUGGUUGAACUAGUUUACAGUCCCACCAACAGUGUAAAGGUAUUCCUAUUUCUCCACAUCCUCUCCAGUACCUGUUGUUUCCUGACUUUUUAAUGAUUGCCAUUCUAACUGGUGUGAGAUGGUAUCUCACUGUGGUUUUGAUUUGCAUUUCUCUGAUGGCCAGUGAUGAUGAGCAUUUUUUCAUGUGUCUGCUGGCUGCAUAAAUGUCUUCUUUUGAGAAGCAUCUGUUCAUAUCCUUCACCCACUUGUUGAUGGGGUUAUUUGAUUUUUUCUUGUAAAUUUGCUUAAGUUCUUUGUAGAUUUUGGAUAU